This 1203-nucleotide long non-coding RNA is filed under the name Triticum aestivum (bread wheat). Its description in RNAcentral is "long non-coding RNA (TAES_LNC002162)". Lineage: Eukaryota; Viridiplantae; Streptophyta; Magnoliopsida; Poales; Poaceae. The record is from RNAcentral.
CAGGCUCUUCUCAUCAACAACAAUUCACAGGAUAGAGAUUACUCAACAUCAAUAGAGAUUACUCAAGACAACAACAUCACACGAUUAAUUUCUGCCAUUUUGCAAGUUAAUGACACAACUAUCAAGGAGUAGUAGUUUUUUUACAGCCACAUUGACCGCUCCACAUUUUAAGGCGUCACCAACCGAAGAUUGAACAUCCAGUAUGAGUAAGUUGUUUCUGCGUCCCAGCAACAAAAGAAAAAACAGAACCUGCAGCAAAGAACCUCAUCAGCAGAGCCGAUUUUGGAUACUCAUGAGGAAGAAAAUACAGAAAAAAAAAUAUCUGCAAGUUCAAACAGCACUAGGAAAACGGUUUCUACCAGUUAAAUUUGUUCUCUCAUCUCUUUGCACAUCUCAACAGAGAAAGAACGAGUAGAACAAUGUACUGCCAAGAUUAUCAGUCAUGGGCAACAUUUGAUUUCUAGUAAUACUUUUGGCUUAAGAUGAUUAGUAGCAAAAGUUGAGAUUUAUUGAGCCCACACAAUUGGAACAUGAGUUCAUAUUCGAAGGAUUGAAUUGAAACCUUCCAGUCAUUGUGUUUUAUCAUAAAGCAAAAGGAUAUUGAAAAAAUGAUAUAAAAUUUUCUGGCAUAAUAAACUGCAUUGUGGUAGCACAUCAGCACAAUGAACUAUGAACUGUGCAGAUCCAGGAGGAAGUGUUUCACAGCUCCAAGAGAAAAUACGAAUACGGUCAAACUAGGCGAUUAAUUUAUUUUCUUUACCUUUGCAGAAUAUCAAUCCAUUGACUGCAAACAAAACAAUAGACACAUUGUAAAGAAGAUGUCAUAUCACCUGUUUAACCAACAAAGCGUGUCAGCAGAUGUAAUAGCACAAUCAUCUCAGCUGUUGCUCAACGGUUCAACUUGAUCAUUUCGACCGCCAAGGGCAAUUCCUACGAGAAGAAUAAGUCAAUAAACUAGUGAUAGCUGUGGGCAAGGACAAAACAGAUAAAAUGUGGUGACACUUAAAUAAAGCGAUUGUUAUGUAUCUCAACUUGCACAAAAUAUUAGCUUUUUCUACAAGGAACAACUAACAAAUGAUAUGUAUUGCAAAAUCUAAAUAAUUCAUAAAGACAGUGCACACCAUUUACCUCAUAGUGAAGGAUACAGUGCUCAGUAUCUUACUUGACCAUGAAGCAUUUUCAGAAUUGUCUUGGUGUGAGCCC